This 371-nucleotide ribosomal RNA is filed under the name uncultured bacterium. Its description in RNAcentral is "bacterial SSU rRNA". It matches the Rfam family "Bacterial small subunit ribosomal RNA", at positions 527 to 896 of the family's 1533-position model. The record is from RNAcentral.
GUAGGGUGCGAGCGUUAAUCGGAAUUACUGGGCGUAAAGCGUGCGCAGGCGGUUUUGUAAGACAGGCGUGAAAUCCCCGGGCUUAACCUGGGAACUGCGUCUGUGACUGCAAGACUAGAGUGUGGCAGAGGGGGGUAGAAUUCCGCGUGUAGCAGUGAAAUGCGUAGAUAUGCGGAGGAAUACCGAUGGCGAAGGCAGCCCCCUGGGUCAACACUGACGCUCAUGCACGAAAGCGUGGGGAGCAAACAGGAUUAGAUACCCUGGUAGUCCACGCCCUAAACGAUGUCAACUAGGUGUUGGGGGAGGAGACUUCCUUAGUACCGCAGCUAACGCGUGAAGUUGACCGCCUGGGGAGUACGGCCGCAAGGUUG